This 448-nucleotide ribosomal RNA is filed under the name uncultured bacterium. Its description in RNAcentral is "partial 16S ribosomal RNA". It matches the Rfam family "Bacterial small subunit ribosomal RNA", at positions 29 to 523 of the family's 1533-position model. The record is from RNAcentral.
AACGAACGCUGGCGGCAGGCCUAACACAUGCAAGUCGAACGGGACCUUAGGGUCUAGUGGCGGACGGGUGCGUAACGCGUGGGAACGUGCCCUUCGGUUCGGAAUAGCCCCGGGAAACUGGGAGUAAUACCGGAUAAGCCCUCCGGGGGACAGAAUUAUCGCCAAUGGAUCGGCCCGCGUUGGAUUAGGUCGUUGGUGAAGUAAUGGCUCACCAAGCCGACGAUCCAUAGCUGGUUUGAGAGGAUGAUCAGCCACACUGUGACUGAGACACGGCCCAGACUCAUACGGGAGGCAGCAGUGGGGAAUCUUAGACAAUGGGGGAAACCCUGAUCUAGCCAUGCCGCGUGAUCGAUGAAGGCCUUAGGGUUGUAAAGAUCUUUCAGUGGGGAAGAUAAUGACUGUACCCACAGAAGAAGCCCCGGCUAACUCGUGCCAGCCGCCGCGGUAA